AGCCUGUUUCCGAUUCUGCGUCUCCCUCUCUCUCUGCCCCUCCCCCGUUCAUGCUCUGUCUCUCUCUGUCCCAAAAAUAAAUAAACGUUGAAAAAAAAAAUUAAAAAAAUAAACAGGUCUUCGAGGCAGACAAAAGUACUCUAUUCUAAAAGAAAAUGGCCACAAAAACCAUUUAUUAGUAAAGAAGGGACGUAAGCACCAGUUUUAGGGCAACAAGGGAUAGGCAAACUGCACUGUUUUGUGCAAAUGCAGUGGGUUUAUGAUCAGUACUGCCUUUAUCUAUAAAGCUGCUAACUUUCCAGCCUUGAAGGGACAAGAUAAAUGCCAGCUGCCAGAGUUGUGAUUGUAUGGCAAGGAGGCCUGGACGAUGAGAACCCGUUUUCUGAAUUGGUUUCACCAAUGUUUCUUUCUGAAGCCAGGAAGUAACUUGCCGGUAAGAAACCACCUUUUAAAGGUCUUGUGAUCUUGGACAAUGCACUUGCGCCCCACCCCCGCCCCCCGCCCCUCCACUGAGCCCCAUGAAUUCAACACUGAAGAUGUCAAAGUGAUCUACCUGCCCACAAACACAAUGUCUCCAAUUUGGCCUCUUGAUCAGUCUUAAGGACCUUUAAGGCUCAUUACACACAGUACUACAUGGAAAGGAUUGUCCGUGUUCUAGAAGAGAAUCCAAACCAGACAUCAUAAAAGUCUGGAAGGAUUACACCAUUGAAGAUGCCACCGUUGUUACAGAAGAAGCCAUGGAAACCAUCUAGCCUGAAGCAGUGAAUUCCUGCUGGGGAAAACUGUGUCUAGAGGUUGCACAAGACUUCACGGGAUUUAUGAUAGAGAUUAUAACAUAGAAAUCGAAGAAAUCAUGAAAUGGAUUGUGGACAUGGCAAGAAGGCCAGGAGGUAAAGGGCUUCUUGGAGAAAUUCCAGAAUUAACAGGCACCACACCAGAUGAAUUAAGAGUUGUCUUGACGGACAUGAGUUGUCUUCAUGAACAAAUUGACGUUAGAUCAUCUGGCAGAAGAAUCCUGAUUAUUCAAGACUGCUUUUGACUUCCUUUACAACAUGGACUCUUCUAGGAUAUGGGUGCUGAAACUAAAGUACGUAGAGGAAGAAAGAUUGGUAUUGUACAGAAAGCUUUUUAGAGAAAUGAAAAAGCAAAAAAGGUCAAAUUAUGAAAUAUGUAUUUCUCUAUAAAGUUGCACCCGCCUCUUCUGCCUUCCUUUCUACCUUCUGCACCUCUUCCCCCCCGUCACCCCUCGUCCUCCUCAGUCUACUCAACAGGAAGAUGAUGACAAUAAAGACCUUUAGGAUGAUCCACUUCCAUUUAGUGAAGAGUAAGGAAUCAUUAUGCUGCACUGUUAAUAAACAUCCGUUGUGUCUUCAUGUGAAAAUAUAGUAACUGUAUGGCAAGAACUAUGCGAAACAUUUUCUGUCCUCCUCAUCAUCACUGCUUAAGUAUUCAUCACGUAGAAUAUCACAAACCAGAUCUGUAUGGAAGUGGAUAGCCUAUCCUUUCACAGGCAUGGGGUCAGUGAUAUUUAACAUAAAAUUAAUAAUGUGUUAGUUUUCUUACUGUUUUAUAACUUUGCUUUCAAAGAAUUACCACACAAUAUCUCUGACUGCCAUCUUUCUCUCCCGCUCGCCAUACCCUGCCUUCUCCCCCCGCCCCCCACCUAUAACUGGAGAAACUAUGUAUCAGCCUGUCAUCACAGCAUCUGAUAAGCGGUAGAAAUCUGGUAACCAGAAACAGUGAUGCUCUGGAUACUAACAGAGAUGAUGGAAACAACAGGAUGAACUGCGAAGGACGGUUGACAGCAUUAAUGAAGUCAUUGCAUGGCUAAACCUUGUUCUGAAGACAUCUUCAGUCUCAAGGAAGAAAAUAACCUGGACUCCUAUUCUAAAAGACUUGACCCGUAAUAUAAAUCAGGGCACAAACAACAGCACUGUCCAGUUGCAAUGACUAUCAUGAUGAGCCCCUGACCUUCAGCACUGAGUGCGAUUGAUCUAGCUAUUACUGUUUACUCAAUGGAAAAACCUCUGCUCCUGCUUUCAGAUUUGUCCCAAGGCUUAGCCACAAGAGUAAGAUUUCUUUUUAAAAUGUGAGUUCAUUCAUUCUACAGACGUGAGUUAUCUGUAAAGCGCCAGGUCCUGUGCUGGGGCAGGGGAGCCUCGCAUGAAUCAGAUACCUCUUGUGCACUAAGGAGCAUGUACAAUUCCAGGUUUUAGAGAUUUAGCAGUGAAUAAGACAACCGGAGGAUAAAUGACAGAAGGGACAUCUGAGGCCUGGAGCGUGUACAGGGAAAGAGCUCUGACCACGUCCAAAGUUAGGGUGUGCACACCCCACACAUCACUGAGUAUUUCACCUCUCGUUUGCUAUAUGCAGAAGCACAGGAACCCAUCCACCCUUGCUCAAGGAGUCAUGGUUUUGGAAGUUAUUCCCUACGAUCGCCUUAUGUGCUGCAAAUAAAGUUUCCUGUCUGACGACUCACCUGAUGUAGUUUCUAUCUGUGACUCACCAAGGAGUGAACUCACAUUAGUUGGGUUACAAUAGAGGGAGAUUAUUGAAGUUCCACAUUUAAGUACGGCGCCCUUUUACUGUAAGUGAGUGUCCCUGAUGGAGAGUUUUCUUGAAUGCACCAUGUAUGUUUGUGCCUCAUGGAUUAAAGGAGCCAAAUGCCAUCUAACCUCCUCUGAGGGUUCAAUUAUUAAUGGAUACAGGAGGUAAGAAACUCAGACAGGAUUCCAUUCCCCAGGCCCAUGCCGUAUUUUCUACUUGAACUUCAAGGUGCUGAGCGACUUGCUAACAGUCACCCAGGUGCGCACUACAGGGGCUCACCCUAAAAUCUAGGCUUCCUAAUGCCCACUCUCACUGCUCUUUCUCGUACAGGGUAAUUCCCAAUUAUAUUGUAUUUUGGGUACUUGUCACAUCCUUUGCUAUGCACAGUCCUCCCAUAGAUUCACACAUGCCUCAUUCCCUCACCUACUUCAGGGUUUUUCCUUACCUGUCACCUUUUCAGUAAGGUCCUCACCCGGGGCCCCAUCUAAAUUUGUAACCCUCUCUCUGCCCCCAAAUUGCUUUUACUUUUUCUGAUUUUUUCCCCCCUCUGCAGCGGCUAUCACCUGCUGACCUCACAUAGGUAGAUUCUACUUAAUUUUGCUGAUUGUCUUUCUCCUCACACUAAGAUGUAAACUCUGUGAAGAGAGUUUUCCUGUUUUGUUCAUGACCGCAUUCCCAGUGGGAGAACAGUGUCUGAUGACUACUAGGUGCUCAGUGAGUAUUUAUUAAAGAAAUCACUCGUCUGAAAGAUUAUAACUUCACAGAAGUUUGAUUUCUGAAUAAGCCAGGUGUUGUCAUGUUAAUAACAUGGGGGUUUCUGGACUGUUUCCAUGUUGGUAGAGAAGGUUAAGAAAUUAUUUGCUAAAGGAAGCACUCUGGUUUUAAAAAAAGUAGCUGAGUUUUAUCUGGUUAAUGUAUAGCAUAGACUUGAUUUCCUUUUGGAUGCUAUAAUAAAAUAUAUGUUGCGCUUACAAAUAUAUUUGCAUUAAACUAUUGAAAGCAUGGAUGACUGUGGCAUCAGUGAAGCUACAUUUGGAACUAAAAUGAUGACCUACUUGUGCAAAUCCUCUAUAAGUCUACCCAGCAGGUACACAGUGUUUCAGUCUGUCUCCCCCCAAGUGGCCUUGCUCGUUCAAUAGAGAGCUCACGUGACCUCUUUCAAGCUACUUGAUGGGAAGUCAACCACAGUGUCUAAGAACCAUUUGUAAAAACCCUAGCGGUAGCUGCAUAGUUUAAAGAGUUCUCUUCCGUAAGGUACAUGAAAGAGCUUCACAACAGAGUUUCAAAGGAGGAUGAGUCUUUGACGAAUCUGUCUAAAAAUAAUGAAAAAUAUAAUGAAUGCUAAGAAGUUCUUUGCAGCUUUUAUCGUAAGGGAUAAUUGGAAGGAACGUUAACACUUUAGCAGUAAGGAAGUAGGUAAGUAAACUGCUGAUUGGAAAAUAUAACUAAUAAAACAAUAAAAAAGAGAAACGUAUUGAUCAUGGAGCAAAAGUGUUAGCAGUUUACCUAAGGUAACUAAGGGGAAGUCAAUUCAUAUGGAAGGCGAGUACUGAAAUUCUCAGACUAACAUUUGAAAGGGAUUUCCCAAACUAUGUCUUUAAGGUUUUCCAGAUAAUAAUAGCUGUAUCACUCUCACACACAAAGGAAUGUUUGGUUACAGAAGAUUUUACUCCUAUUGGAGAUUUAUGAUACAGCUAAGAAUUCAAGGAUCCAAAAAUUUCUGUAGUAAAAUAAACAGUGCAAUUAUACUUUAUUUUUUCCCAAAUUAUCUGACCGAGUGCCAUGUUUUCCUAGUCAACCUGUGGAUAACCUGAGAAAGACCACCAUUCUGUAGAGCACCAGUAGGGAACAGCUACCCUGGUUUUUCUCCAAUGAAGGUUUGAAUACAAGGAAAAGUAUAAGAAGUCAAGAAAAAAAAGAGGUUGAGUCGUUGGGUCCAGGUUGCUUUAUUUCUGAAAGUUGUCGGAGGAAGACUGACCUUGUGUCUAAUUGCUGGAAUCAGGAGGCAAAAAGGCAACUUUCCUCUAAAAAUAGAAGCGAUGUGGUGCCUGGCUGGCUGAGUUAGUAGAGCAUGCAACUCUUGAUCUCGGGGUUGUAGGUUUGAGUCCCACAUUGGGUGUGUAUGUUACUUAAAAGAAUAAAAUCUUUAAAAAAAUAAAAAUAGAAGCAGCCUUGUAAGAGUCUGUCCUUAAAGACCUUGCAGGACUGGGUCCAUUCCACAGGCACAUGAGCCAUUGGGGAGCCAUAGUCUUAGGGAUUAUCGAAUGGAGUUAGGAGCAAGUAGGAAAUUUCCAGAACCCGAGUAUCCCCAUCAUACUUUGUACUGCCCAUGAUUAGCGUGGUAUUAAUUUUCUUAGGGAUUGUUCUCAGGAGCUUGUGAACCCCGUCAUCCCUCCCUCCUUUUGCCUCUCUCUCCCUCUCGUCGUCUACCUCUCUUAGUAAGCUUCUUGAUAACAACCAUUACGUUCACCUUUGUAUCCACAGUGGCUGGAACUGAGUUGGUGUUGAAUGAAUACCCACUGAAUUAACAACAGAAAGAGGGAAUGAAUGAAUGAAUGAAUGUUCUUGUGCUCUAUAGAAUGUUGGGCCCAAUGCACUCAAAACUGGUUCCCAGUGUAGCUCUCAAAUAAAAUAGUCAAAAAAUCAACUUUCUAUAUUUCCAUUAGAUUAGAGUGUUUUUAGAAUAAUAGUUUUCAAAACUUUCCCUAACUUAAGCUCUGCUUAUUAAAUUCAUAUUUAUUUUUAAUUUUAUAAUAUAGGCUAUGGUAAAACAUUCACACAUUUCAGAAAAAGGUAACUCAUCUCCUAAUUACCAACAGCUGGGCUAGGAACCUUAUAGUUGGUUGCAUACAUAAGAGCACUGUUUUUGAGGUCUAUUUUAGGAAGUAUGGAUUACUUAAAAUUGUUUUCAGUAACUACAGAGGAUCCCAUAAAAUGAUUAUGCUAAAAGCAAUCUGCAUUGCUAUUGAUAGACAUUCAGGAUGUUACCAAGAUUUACUAUUAUGAGAAAUGCAGCAAUGAACACCCUUGUAUCUUAGAUUAGAUAUUCAGAAAGAAAACCGUUUAAUCAUCAAUUUAAAAACUGAAAAUUCAAAAAUUCGGUUGGCAAAUUGUCAACCCAAAGAAAUGGCUCACCAAGUUUACUUUCCUACCAGCAAUGUAGAGCAUAUGCAUUUUCAAUAUUUGUGCCAAAAUAUUUACAUUACCCAAUUUAAUUUGUUUCUAAUUAUUUGGGUGAAAGAAUGAUAUCUUAUUUUAUACUUCCCAGAUUAGUACUGAAGUUUGCCAACUUACAGGCAGUAUUUGUCACUGUAUUAAUUUUAGCCAAUCUUAAAAACAAAACGUCAUUGCUAUGAAUUGUCUAGUCCUGUUAGAAAUUAUUGUAAGCAAAACUGUACCUUUGAAUUAUUCACAAACAGACAAUGUCUAUUCAUGGGGCUCCUCAGAAGAUCUGUAGUAUUACAUGUUUUUAUCAUGUUCAGUAGGAGGCUGCAGCUUGCCUUUGUAGCCAAGUUGGUCACUUUUCUGGACACACAGUCCUUAUUUCAAGAAAACAUCACUUCUUCUGCUUUCUUUUUUUUCUUAACGUUUAUUUUUGAGAGAGAGAGAGAGAGAGAGCGAGCGAGCAUGAGCAGGGGAGGGGCAGACAGAGAGGGAGACACAAUUUGAAGCAGGCUCCAGGCUCCCAGCUGUCAGCACAGAGACCGAUGUAGGGCUUGAAUUUGUAAACCUUGAGAUCCUGACCUGAGCCAAAGCUGGAUGCUCAACCACUAAGCCACCCAGGUGCCUCUUUUCUGCUUUCUAAGUGACUCUUCCUUCACUAAUAUCACCUGAUUGUGGACAGAUAUGUUUAUAAUUAAUUCUGUAGCCUGUGUGGCUAGUGCGGUGUUAGGUACAUUGCCAACAAAUGUAAUUGUAAUGGGUUUUACAACCUGGUCUUAUUUCCCCCCACACUAAACAUUAAUUCUGCCAUCAUUCAAAAAAAAAAGAAAAAAAGAAAUGACAGAAUCUUCUUACGCUGUCAAGUAGCAUACUCAUGA
Molecule: long non-coding RNA, 6587 nt
Organism: Felis catus (domestic cat)
Lineage: Eukaryota; Metazoa; Chordata; Mammalia; Carnivora; Felidae
Exons: 6
Source: RefSeq, a predicted model, not a curated record